GUAACGCGUGGGUGACCUGCCCCAUACCGGGGGAGUAACAGCUGGAAACGGCUGCUAAUACCGCAUAAGCGCACAGAGCUGCAUGGCUCGGUGUGAAAAACUCCGGUGGUAUGGGAUGGGCCCGCGUUGGAUUAGCUAGUUGGCAGGGCAGCGGCCUACCAAGGCGACGAUCCAUAGCCGGCCUGAGAGGGUGAACGGCCACAUUGGGACUGAGACACGGCCCAGACUCCUACGGGAGGCAGCAUG
RNAcentral lists this ribosomal RNA (246 nucleotides) under uncultured bacterium. Its description in RNAcentral is "partial 16S ribosomal RNA". It matches the Rfam family "Bacterial small subunit ribosomal RNA", at positions 110 to 353 of the family's 1533-position model. The record is from RNAcentral.